CUAUAUCUACUUGUCUACUUUAUUAAAACACUAUAUAAUUAAAAUAAAAUACUCGCAACGGUAGGCCCCAGCAGAUUGGCGCUUCCAGCCACCUUUUCCACCGCAAGAAGCUCAAAGAGCACUCCAGAGACACAAUGUUCUCACUUCUCGCACCCAUCUAUCAACCUUGAAAACCCCCUUGUAUAGCUCAGAACCACUUAAAGCGUUUACACAGCAGAAACACCCCAACGCACAAGUCCCUUGGCGAUGCUGUCGAUUUUGGCAUCUCUUUGGCAAGGUAGUUUACAAUGACGUCAGGAUGCACCCAGGCUUUGGGAUCCACCCUGAGACACUAAGAUUGUAGAAGAAGAAAAAACAGUAACCAUGCUCCUAAUAAGAUGAGAUUGUUUUUUGUUUCUUUGCAGAGACUUCACUCAUCGUGAGUUUUGUAAUUUAUUUACUUUGAGAUCAGCAUUUGAUUUAUCUAAAGGCCAAUAAGAUCUCCAUAUUAAAUCCGCGCC
RNAcentral lists this small RNA (500 nucleotides) under Histoplasma capsulatum var. duboisii H88. Its description in RNAcentral is "Histoplasma capsulatum H88 hypothetical RNA". The record is from RNAcentral. Lineage: Eukaryota; Fungi; Ascomycota; Eurotiomycetes; Onygenales; Ajellomycetaceae.